CAAUAGCGUAUAUUUAAGUUGUUGCAGUUAAAAAGCUCGUAGUUGGAUUUCGGUUGAGAACGGCCGGUCCGCCGUUUGGUGUGCACUGGCCGGUUUCAACUUCCUGUAGAGGACGCGCUCUGGCUUCACGGCUGGACGCGGAGUCUACGUGGUUACUUUGAAAAAAUUAGAGUGUUCAAAGCGGGCUUACGCUUGAAUAUUUCAGCAUGGAAUAACACUAUAGGACUCCUGUCCUAUUUCGUUGGUCUCGGGACGGGAGUAAUGAUUAAGAGGAACAGUUGGGGGCAUUCGUAUUUCAUUGUCAGAGGUGAAAUUCUUGGAUUUAUGAAAGACGAACUUCUGCGAAAGCAUUUGCCAAGGAUGUUUUCAUUAA
This 373-nucleotide ribosomal RNA is filed under the name uncultured eukaryote. Its description in RNAcentral is "partial 18S ribosomal RNA". It matches the Rfam family "Eukaryotic small subunit ribosomal RNA", at positions 592 to 976 of the family's 1831-position model. The record is from RNAcentral.